This 437-nucleotide ribosomal RNA is filed under the name uncultured bacterium. Its description in RNAcentral is "partial 16S ribosomal RNA". It matches the Rfam family "Bacterial small subunit ribosomal RNA", at positions 29 to 507 of the family's 1533-position model. The record is from RNAcentral.
AGCGAACGCUGGCGGCAGGCUUAACACAUGCAAGUCGAGCGGGCAUCCUUGUGGUGUCAGCGGCAGACGGGUGAGUAACGCGUGGGAACGUGCCCUUCGGUUCGGAAUAACUCAGGGAAACUUGAGCUAAUACCGGAUACGUGCGAGAGCAGAAAGGUUUAUCUGCCGAAGGAUCGGCCCGCGUCUGAUUAGCUAGUUGGUGAGGUUACGGCUCACCAAGGCGACGAUCAGUAGCUGGUCUGAGAGGAUGAUCAGCCACACUGGGACUGAGACACGGCCCAGACUCCUACGGGAAGCAGCAGUGGGGAAUAUUGGACAAUGGGGGCAACCCUGAUCCAGCCAGGCCGCGUGAGUGAUGACGGCCUUAGGGUUGUAAAGCUCUUUUCUCCGGGACGAUAAUGACGGUACCGGAGGAAUAAGCCCCGGCUAACUUCGUG